UAGGGAAUUUUCCACAAUGGGCGCAAGCCUGAUGGAGCAACGCCGCGUGCAGGAUGAAGGCUUUCGGGUCGUAAACUGCUUUUAUUUGUGACGAUUAUGACAGUAGCAAAUGAAUAAGGGUCGGCUAACUACGUGCCAGCAGCCGCGGUCAUACGUAGGACCCGAGCGUUAUCCGGAAUUACUGGGCGUAAAGAGUUGCGUAGGUGGUUUGUUAAGUGAAUAGUGAAAUCGUGCGGCUCAACCGUAUAUCCAUUAUUUAAACUGGCAGACUUGAGUAUGGUAGAGGUCACUGGAAUUCCAAGUGUAGGAGUGAAAUCCGUAGAUAUUUGGAGGAACACCGAUGGCGUAGGCAGGUGACUGGACCAUAACUGACACUGAGGCACGAAAGCGUGGGGAGCAAACGG
Molecule: ribosomal RNA, 404 nt
Filed under: uncultured bacterium
Lineage: Bacteria
Description: bacterial SSU rRNA
Rfam family: Bacterial small subunit ribosomal RNA
Source: RNAcentral